RNAcentral lists this ribosomal RNA (253 nucleotides) under uncultured bacterium. Its description in RNAcentral is "partial 16S ribosomal RNA". It matches the Rfam family "Bacterial small subunit ribosomal RNA", at positions 524 to 776 of the family's 1533-position model. The record is from RNAcentral.
UACGUAGGGUGCGAGCGUUAAUCGGAAUUACUGGGCGUAAAGCGUGCGCAGGCGGUUCGCUGUGUCCGAUGUGAAAGCCCCGGGCUUAACCUGGGAAUGGCAUUGGAAACUGGCGGGCUUGAGUGCGGCAGAGGGGGGUGGAAUUCCGCGUGUAGCAGUGAAAUGCGUAGAGAUGCGGAGGAACACCAGUGGCGAAGGCGACUCUUUGGCCUGUAACUGACGCUGAGGCGCGAAAGCGUGGGGAGCAAACAGG